Molecule: ribosomal RNA, 551 nt
Filed under: uncultured bacterium
Lineage: Bacteria
Description: bacterial SSU rRNA
Rfam family: Bacterial small subunit ribosomal RNA
Source: RNAcentral
AGAGUUUGAUUAUGGCUCAGGAUGAACGCUGGCGGCGUGCCUAACACAUGCAAGUCGAACGAAGCGCAUGCCUGGAACCCUCCGGGGGGAAGGGCAUGUGACUGAGUGGCGGACGGGUGAGUAACGCGUGGGCAACCUGCCCCGCACUGGGGGACAACAGCCGGAAACGGCUGCUAAUACCGCAUAUGCGCACAGCUUUGCAUGAAGCAGUGUGGAAAACUCCGGUGGUGCGGGAUGGGCCCGCGUCUGAUUAGCUGGUUGGCGGGGCAACGGCCCACCAAGGCGACGAUCAGUAGCCGGCCUGAGAGGGUGGACGGCCACAUUGGGACUGAGACACGGCCCAGACUCCUACGGGAGGCAGCAGUGGGGGAUAUUGCACAAUGGGGGGAACCCUGAUGCAGCGACGCCGCGUGAGCGAAGAAGUACCUCGGUAUGUAAAGCUCUAUCAGCAGGGAAGAAAAUGACGGUACCUGACUAAGAAGCCCCGGCUAAAUACGUGCCAGCAGCCGCGGUAAUACGUAUGGGGCAAGCGUUAUCCGGAUUUACUGGGU